RNAcentral lists this ribosomal RNA (495 nucleotides) under uncultured bacterium. RNAcentral's name for it is "partial 16S ribosomal RNA". It matches the Rfam family "Bacterial small subunit ribosomal RNA", at positions 28 to 507 of the family's 1533-position model. The record is from RNAcentral.
GAUGAACGCUGGCGGCGUGCCUAAUACAUGCAAGUAGAACGCUGAAGGAGGAGCUUGCUCUUCUGGAUGAGUUGCGAACGGGUGAGUAACGCGUAGGUAACCUGCCUGGUAGCGGGGGAUAACUAUUGGAAACGAUAGCUAAUACCGCAUGACAACAGUUAUUGCAUGAUAACUGUUUAAAAGGGGCAACUGCUCCACUACCAGAUGGACCUGCGUUGUAUUAGCUAGUUGGUGAGGUAACGGCUCACCAAGGCGACGAUACAUAGCCGACCUGAGAGGGGGGUCGGCCACACUGGGACUGAGACACGGCCCAGACUCCUACGGGAGGCAGCAGUAGGGAAUCUUCGGCAAUGGACGGAAGUCUGACCGGGCAACGCCGCGUGAGUGAAGAAGGUUUUCGGGUCGUAAAGCUCUGUUGUAAGAGAAGGACGAGUGUGGGAGUGGAAAGUUCACACUGUGACGGUAUCUUACCAGAAAGGGACGGCUAACUACGUG